GUGAACGCUGGCGGUAGGCCUAACACAUGCAAGUCGAACGGCAGCACAGUAAGAGCUUGCUCUUACGGGUGGCGAGUGGCGGACGGGUGAGGAAUACAUCGGAAUCUACUUUUUCGUGGGGGAUAACGUAGGGAAACUUACGCUAAUACCGCAUACGACCUACGGGUGAAAGCAGGGGAUCUUCGGACCUUGCGCGAUUGAAUGAGCCGAUGUCGGAUUAGCUAGUUGGCGGGGUAAAGGCCCACCAAGGCGACGAUCCGUAGCUGGUCUGAGAGGAUGAUCAGCCACACUGGAACUGAGACACGGUCCAGACUCCUACGGGAGGCAGCAGUGGGGAAUAUUGGACAAUGGGCGCAAGCCUGAUCCAGCCAUACCGCGUGGGUGAAGAAGGCCUUCGGGUUGUAAAGCCCUUUUGUUGGGAAAGAAAAGCAGCAGGUUAAUACCCCGCUGUUCUGACGGUACCCAAAGAAUAAACACCGGCUAACUUCGUG
RNAcentral lists this ribosomal RNA (491 nucleotides) under uncultured bacterium. RNAcentral's name for it is "partial 16S ribosomal RNA". It matches the Rfam family "Bacterial small subunit ribosomal RNA", at positions 29 to 507 of the family's 1533-position model. The record is from RNAcentral.